RNAcentral lists this ribosomal RNA (305 nucleotides) under uncultured bacterium. RNAcentral describes it as "bacterial SSU rRNA". It matches the Rfam family "Bacterial small subunit ribosomal RNA", at positions 337 to 639 of the family's 1533-position model. The record is from RNAcentral.
UCCUACGGGAGGCAGCAGUGAGGAAUAUUGGUCAAUGGCCGAGAGGCUGAACCAGCCAAGUCGCGUGAGGGAUGACGGCCCUACGGGUUGUAAACCUCUUUUGUCGGGGAGCAAGACCCGCCUCGUGCAGGCGGAGCGAGAGUACCCGAAGAAAAAGCAUCGGCUAACUCCGUGCCAGCAGCCGCGGUAAUACGGAGGAUGCGAGCGUUAUCCGGAUUUAUUGGGUUUAAAGGGUGCGCAGGCGGACCAUCAAGUCAGCGGUAAAAUCGUGGGGCCCAACCCCAUACCGCCGUUGAAACUGGCGG